CCCUUAGACGUUCUGGGCCGCACGCGCGCUACACUGACCAGUGCAACAAGCAUCCGUCCUUGGCCGACAGGCCCGGGCAAUCUUUGAACGCUGGUCGUGAUGGGGAUAGACUUUUGCAAUUUUUGGUCUUCAACGAGGAAUUCCUAGUAAGCGCAAGUCAUCAGCUUGCGUUGAUUACGUCCCUGCCCUUUGUACACACCGCCCGUCGCACCUACCGAUUGAAUGGUCCGGUGAAGCCUCGGGAUUGUGGCUGGUUUCCUUUAUUGGAGGUCGGUCGCGAGAACUUGUCUAAACCUUAUCAUUUAGAGGAAGGUGAAGUCGUAACA
RNAcentral lists this ribosomal RNA (326 nucleotides) under uncultured eukaryote. Its description in RNAcentral is "partial 18S ribosomal RNA". It matches the Rfam family "Eukaryotic small subunit ribosomal RNA", at positions 1470 to 1796 of the family's 1831-position model. The record is from RNAcentral.